GUCCACGCCCUAAACUAUGUCAACUAGACGUUGGCCUCUUUAAUGAGGUUAGUGUCGAAGCUAACGCGUUAAGUUGACCGCCUGGGGAGUACGGCCGCAAGGUUGAAACUCAAAGGAAUUGACGGGGGCCCGCACAAGCGGUGGAGCAUGUGGUUUAAUUCGAUGCAACGCGAAGAACCUUACCAGCCCUUGACAUCCUCGGAACUUGGUAGAGAUACCUUGGUGCCUUCGGGAAUCGAGAGACAGGUGCUGCAUGGCUGUCGU
This 264-nucleotide ribosomal RNA is filed under the name uncultured bacterium. Its description in RNAcentral is "partial 16S ribosomal RNA". It matches the Rfam family "Bacterial small subunit ribosomal RNA", at positions 793 to 1055 of the family's 1533-position model. The record is from RNAcentral.